CGCGAACGCUGGCGGCAGGCUUAACACAUGCAAGUCGAGCGGGCAUCCUUGUGGUGUCAGCGGCAGACGGGUGAGUAACGCGUGGGAACGUGCCCUUCGGUUCGUAAUAACACCGGGAAACUUGCGCUAAUACCGGAUACGUGCGAGAGCAGAAAGGUUUAUCUGCCGAAGGAUCGGCCCGCGUCUGAUUAGUUAGUUGGUGAGGUUAUGGCUCACCAAGGCGACGAUCAGUAGCUGGUCUGAGAGGAUGAUCAGCCACACUGGGACUGAGACACGGCCCAGACUCCUACGGGAGGCAGCAGUGGGGAAUAUUGGACAAUGGGGGCAACCCUGAUCCAGCCAUGCCGCGUGAGUGAUGACGGCCUUAGGGUUGUAAAGCUCUUUUCUUCGGGACGAUAAUGACGGUACCGGAGGAAUAAGCCCCGGCUAACUUCGUG
RNAcentral lists this ribosomal RNA (437 nucleotides) under uncultured bacterium. RNAcentral's name for it is "partial 16S ribosomal RNA". It matches the Rfam family "Bacterial small subunit ribosomal RNA", at positions 29 to 507 of the family's 1533-position model. The record is from RNAcentral.